CCUACGGGUGGCAGCAGUGGGGGAUAUUGCACAAUGGGGGAAACCCUGAUGCAGCGAUGCCGCGUGAAUGAAGAAGGCUUUCGGUUUGUAAAGCUCUGUCGCAGGGGACGAAAAUGACGGUACCCUACUAGAAAGCCCCGGCUAACUACGUGCCAGCAGCCGCGGUAAUACGUAGGGGGCAAGCGUUUUCCGGAUUUACUGGGUGUAAAGGGAGCGUAGGCGGGAGACUAAGUUGGAUGUGAAAUCUAUGGCCUUAACCCGUAGCUGCGUUCGAAACUGUUCUGCUUGAGUGAAGUAGAGGCAAGUGGAAUUCCUAGUGUAGCGGUGAAAUGCGUAGAUAUUAGGAGGAACACCAGUGGCGAAGGCGGCUUGCUGGACUGUUACUGACGUUGAGGCUCGAAAGCGUGGGUAGCAAACAGGAUUAGAUACCCCAGUAGUC
RNAcentral lists this ribosomal RNA (439 nucleotides) under uncultured bacterium. RNAcentral's name for it is "partial 16S ribosomal RNA". It matches the Rfam family "Bacterial small subunit ribosomal RNA", at positions 338 to 795 of the family's 1533-position model. The record is from RNAcentral.